This 253-nucleotide ribosomal RNA is filed under the name uncultured bacterium. RNAcentral describes it as "partial 16S ribosomal RNA". It matches the Rfam family "Bacterial small subunit ribosomal RNA", at positions 524 to 776 of the family's 1533-position model. The record is from RNAcentral.
UACGGAGGGGGCGAGCGUUGUCCGAAGUUACUGGGCGUAAAGCGCGCGUAGGCGGGUUGGUAAGUCCGCUGUGAAAGCCCGGAGCUUAACUCCGGAGGGUCGGUGGAUACUGCCAGUCUUGAAGGUGCUAGGGGGAGAUGGAAUUACCGGUGUAGCGGUGAAAUGCGUAGAGAUCGGUAGGAACACCAGUGGCGAAGGCGGUCUCCUGGGGCAUUCUUGACGCUGAGGCGCGAAAGCUGGGGGAGUGAACGGG